CCUACGGGUGGCAGCAGUGGGGAAUAUUGCACAAUGGGCGCAAGCCUGAUGCAGCCAUGCCGCGUGUGUGAAGAAGGCCUUCGGGUUGUAAAGCACUUUCAGCGGGGAGGAAGGCGUUAAGGUUAAUAACCUUGUCGAUUGACGUUACCCGCAGAAGAAGCACCGGCUAACUCCGUGCCAGCAGCCGUGGUAAUACGGAGGGUGCAAGCGUUAAUCGGAAUUACUGGGCGUAAAGCGCACGCAGGCGGUCUGUCAAGUCGGAUGUGAAAUCCCCGGGCUCAACCUGGGAACUGCAUUCGAAACUGGCAGGCUAGCGUCUUGUAGAGGGGGGUAGAAUUCCAGGUGUAGCGGUGAAAUGCGUAGAGAUCUGGAGGAAUACCGGUGGCGAAGGCGGCCCCCUGGACAAAGACUGACGCUCAGGUGCGAAAGCGUGGGGAGCAAACAGGAUUAGAUACCCCAGUAGUC
This 465-nucleotide ribosomal RNA is filed under the name uncultured Klebsiella sp. RNAcentral describes it as "bacterial SSU rRNA". It matches the Rfam family "Bacterial small subunit ribosomal RNA", at positions 338 to 795 of the family's 1533-position model. The record is from RNAcentral. Lineage: Bacteria; Pseudomonadati; Pseudomonadota; Gammaproteobacteria; Enterobacterales; Enterobacteriaceae.